AUUAAUACCCAUAAUAUAUUUGAUAAGGCAUCUUAUUAAUAUUAAAGCUUCGGCACUUGAUGAUGGGUGUGCGGCUGAUUAGAUAGUUGGCGGGGUAACGGCCCACCAAGUCUACGAUCAGUAGCUGAUGUGAGAGCAUGAUCAGCCACACGGGCACUGAGACACGGGCCCGACUCCCUACGGGAGGCAGCAGUAAGGAAUAUUGGACAAUGGACGAAAGUCUGAUCCAGCCAUGCCGCGUGAAGGAUUAAGGUCCUCUGGAUUGUAAACUUCUUUUAUAUGGGACGAAAAAAGGGCAUUCUUGUUCACUUGACGGUACCAUAUGAAUAAGCACCGGCUAACUCCGUG
RNAcentral lists this ribosomal RNA (348 nucleotides) under uncultured bacterium. RNAcentral describes it as "bacterial SSU rRNA". It matches the Rfam family "Bacterial small subunit ribosomal RNA", at positions 162 to 507 of the family's 1533-position model. The record is from RNAcentral.